This 182-nucleotide small RNA is filed under the name Chrysemys picta bellii (western painted turtle). Its description in RNAcentral is "TUC338 (ENSCPBG00000009170.1)". The record is from RNAcentral. Lineage: Eukaryota; Metazoa; Chordata; Testudines; Emydidae.
UUGACAGCAUUGGAAACUGAAGUCCUCUAUUUAUCCACAGAAGGACAGCUGAAUGGGUAACCUUUCCCACAAUACCUCACACUCAACCCUGUGUCUUAAUCCUGACAUGCAGGUACUAUAGCACUUCCAGGGAUAAGAGGGGAUUUCAUACUUACUAGUCCUUGGCCACUCUUAGAGCAAAG